CCUACGGAUGGCAGCAGUGGGGAAUAUUGCUCAAUGGGCGAAACCCUGAUGCAGCAACGCCGCGUGAACGAUGAAGGCCUUCGGGUUGUAAAGCUCUGUUGUUAAAGAAGAUAAUGACGGUACCUGACGCGUAAGCACCGGCUAACUCCGUGCCAGCAGCCGCGGUAAUACGUAGGGUGCCAGCGUUAUUCGGAAUCACUGGGCGUAAAGGGAGCGUAGGUGGGUUAUCAAGUCAGAUGUGAAAGCCUAUGGCUUAACCGUAGAACUGCAUUUGAAACUGGUAAUCUAGAGUACGGGAGAGGUAGGUGGAAUUCGUGGUGUAGCGGUGAAAUGCGUAGAUAUCAAGAGGAACACCGAUUGCGAAGGCGGCCUGCUAGACUGUAACUGACACUGAUGCGCGAAAGCGUGGGGAGCAAACAGGAUUAGAUACCCGUGUAGUC
Molecule: ribosomal RNA, 440 nt
Filed under: uncultured bacterium
Lineage: Bacteria
Description: partial 16S ribosomal RNA
Rfam family: Bacterial small subunit ribosomal RNA
Source: RNAcentral